GCGUGAGUAGCUCAGUUGAUAGAGCGUCUCGUUGCCAACGAGAAGGUCGUGGGUUUGAGCCCCAUCUCACGCUCCA
RNAcentral lists this transfer RNA (76 nucleotides) under Chloroflexota bacterium. Its description in RNAcentral is "Chloroflexi bacterium tRNA-Gly". It matches the Rfam family "tRNA". From Rfam's summary of the family: Transfer RNA (tRNA) molecules are approximately 80 nucleotides in length. Their secondary structure includes four short double-helical elements and three loops (D, anti-codon, and T loops). Further hydrogen bonds mediate the characteristic L-shaped molecular structure. tRNAs have two regions of fundamental functional importance: the anti-codon, which is responsible for specific mRNA codon recognition, and the 3' end, to which the tRNAs corresponding amino acid is attached (by aminoacyl-tRNA synthetases). tRNAs cope with the degeneracy of the genetic code in two manners: having more than one tRNA (with a specific anti-codon) for a particular amino acid; and 'wobble' base-pairing, i.e. permitting non-standard base-pairing at the 3rd anti-codon position. Lineage: Bacteria; Bacillati; Chloroflexota. The record is from RNAcentral.